Molecule: ribosomal RNA, 703 nt
Filed under: Santalum pyrularium x Santalum involutum
Lineage: Eukaryota; Viridiplantae; Streptophyta; Magnoliopsida; Santalales; Santalaceae
Description: eukaryotic LSU rRNA
Rfam family: 5.8S ribosomal RNA (bases 343-498)
Source: RNAcentral
CUGCGGAAGGAUCAUUGUCGAAACCUGCCAAGCAGGAUGACCCGAGAAGUAGUAUCAUCUAANGGUGAUGCAAGUCAGGCUUGCACUCAUCUUUGUCGGCUCGGCCCGCAUGUGGCGCGCGACCNAACGCAACUGUCUAGGCGGAGUGAGGGGUCAUAAUAGGCGUCUCCCUUCCCAGGCUCUCUGUGUUUUGGGAAAGCUCCUCACUUGCGAACCCCGAUUUCACCUAAACAUCCGGCACGGAAUGUGCCAAGGGAAAUCAGCGAAANGAGCAUGUCCUUGCGAAACACCAUCGGUGCGCUUCGAUCGAUAGGACACGCUCCAUNCAAAUAAUAAUGCAACGACUCUCGGCAACGGAUAUCUCGGCUCUCGCAUCGAUGAAGAACGCAGCGAAAUGCGAUACUUGGUGUGAAUUGCAGAAUCCCGUGAAUCAUCGAGUCUUUGAACGCAAGUUGCGCCCGAAGCCAUUAGGUUAAGGGCANGCCUGCCUGGGUGUCACGCACCGCGCUGCUCCCUAAUCCCCCUUNAAUGGGNGGGACCUUCGGGAACGAAUGCUGGCUUCCCGUGCAAACAAUGGCGCGGUUAGCUGAAAUACUAUAGUCCUUGGCGACGCGUCUCAUGACGAGUUGUGGAUAACAACGUCUCCUUCGGGUCGCCACACGACAAACUAUAAAGAUUCGUGGGACUNUGUUUACAUGAUGAA